GGCGGGGCUGAGCAGGAAAGAAGCAACACGGUAGAUGGCAUGUAAAGUGGAAUGCAUCCUUUGUGAGUUAUGUGUGAUGUCACUUUGAGACUUCCAGAAAUAACUAAGCAAGACUUUGAAGGAGCCUGGAGUCCUGCAUUGGCAGAUUGGGGAAGAGAGGCAUCUAGAGGUAUCUACAGCCACCAGCCCUCUAGUGACAAAGCGAGAACCUCAGACUCAAAUCUCCAACAUUCCAGUCUGUGCCUUCUUCAUGUUCCUGGGCAGCUUUGUUCAAGCAUCUAUAAUGGCUUCCUAUUUCUAACUGUACCAAAUUAAAAUGUUCUGGUCUGGCA
This is a long non-coding RNA of Leopardus geoffroyi (Geoffroy's cat), 332 nucleotides long. RefSeq lists it as uncharacterized. The transcript is spliced from 2 exons. Lineage: Eukaryota; Metazoa; Chordata; Mammalia; Carnivora; Felidae. The record is from RefSeq and is a predicted model, not a curated record.